This 69-nucleotide transfer RNA is filed under the name Urocitellus parryii (Arctic ground squirrel). RNAcentral's name for it is "Spermophilus parryii (Arctic ground squirrel) tRNA". It matches the Rfam family "tRNA". From Rfam's summary of the family: Transfer RNA (tRNA) molecules are approximately 80 nucleotides in length. Their secondary structure includes four short double-helical elements and three loops (D, anti-codon, and T loops). The record is from Rfam by way of RNAcentral. RNAcentral also lists the same sequence under 1 other name. Lineage: Eukaryota; Metazoa; Chordata; Mammalia; Rodentia; Sciuridae.
GGGGUUGUGGCUCCGUGGUAGAGCACCUGCCUAGCAUGCAUGAGGCACUGGGUUUGAUUCUCAGCACCA